This 228-nucleotide long non-coding RNA is filed under the name Elaeis guineensis (African oil palm). RNAcentral describes it as "long non-coding RNA (EGUI_LNC005576)". The record is from RNAcentral. Lineage: Eukaryota; Viridiplantae; Streptophyta; Magnoliopsida; Arecales; Arecaceae.
GUCCCCUCAUAUAAAUUUGAGUUGGUAGCUGCCUAUACAAAAGUUGCUACCUUAUUUUCCCCAGAAUAAAGUUGAGAGCAUCACUGCUAGGAUUACAUGGGUCAAAACACUUGUGGAAGAUGCUGCUCAAGCUUGUUUGUGACAAAAAACUCCUAAAUUAGAUGGUCGAAAGUGUAAAGUGGCUUUGGCUUUGUCAAAAGUGAUCAGAGUGAUACAGAAGUGAGUGAU